GGCGUGUUUAACACAUGCAAGUCGAACGAUGAAGUCCUUCGGGAUGGAUUAGUGGCGCACGGGUGAGUAAUAUAUAGUUAAUGUACCUUCAAGACUGGGAUAGCCACUGGAAACGGUGAUUAAUACUAGAUAUACCUCUUUAACAUAAGUUAGAGUGGGAAAUUWUUUUCGCUUGARGAUCRGACUAUAUCCCAUCARUUUGUUGGUGAGGUAAUGGCUCACCMAGGCARUGACGGGWASCGGGUUUGAAAGGAUGAUCCGCCACAMUGGUACUGAGACACGGACCAGACUCCURCGGGRGGSAGCAGUSASGAMUAUUGCAYAAUGGGGGAAACCCUGAUGCAGCAACGCCGCGUGGAGGAUGACGCAUUUCGGUGUGWAAACUCCUUUUAUGAGUCAAGAAAAUGACGGUAGCUCAUGAAUAAGCACCGGCUAACUCCGUGCCAGCAGCCGCGGUAAUACGGAGGGUGCAAGCGUUACUCGGAAUCACUGGGCGUAAAGGACGCGUAGGCGGGUUGGUAAGUCAGAUGUGAAAUCCUACAGCUCAACUGUAGAACUGCAUUUGAAACUACCGACCUAGAGUAUGGGAGGGGGAGAUGGAAUUAGUGGUGUAGGGGUAAAAUCCGUAGAUAUCACUAGGAAUACCAAAAGCSRARGSCGAUCUCCUGGAAACAUUACUGGACGCU
Molecule: ribosomal RNA, 686 nt
Filed under: uncultured bacterium
Lineage: Bacteria
Description: partial 16S ribosomal RNA
Rfam family: Bacterial small subunit ribosomal RNA
Source: RNAcentral